Non-coding RNA from Microcebus murinus (gray mouse lemur), 2369 nucleotides. The record is from RefSeq and is a predicted model, not a curated record. Lineage: Eukaryota; Metazoa; Chordata; Mammalia; Primates; Cheirogaleidae.
CAAAGACAGUUAGAGAGGCCAGUUUAGAAACUCUUAUGUUUGAAGGAUUCAGUUGUGUCCAGUGUUAAAUAUGACAUUUGUUAAGUGCCUACAAGAGCCAGGCCCUUUGUCGAGGUCAUUUCUGAUCUUCUCAACAAUUCUGCCAGGAGAGAAUGGCCCUAGCAAUGCCAGUGACCGGCCACCUGCUAAUGCUCCUUCCACCAACACCUGCUAACUGCACAUCACCCCCUAACACCAAAAGAACAAGCACCACCACCAUUGCCAGAGGCUGGAAGGGGAUCCUGUAUCACCCUGCUUGAUCACAGGGCCAUGGCAGGUAUCUGUGAUCAUUUUGCACAUCCUGAUGCAAUACGGGCAGAAAGAAUUCAACAGAUUCAAAUGCUGGCCUGCGCGGCUCCCUCUGUGGCCACGCUGAGGUCAGAUGCUCGCUUCUUCCUGGGGAAGCCGUCCUCCUCCCGAGUCUGGGAGCGGGAAGACAUCACUGUGCUAGUCCAGGUAAUCUCACCACCAAAGGAAAUCUAACGUUUUAGGGUGAAAGUGAUUCUUGCUACAGGGUAACAUUUAAUACAUAUUACUGGCACGUAAGUUUAUUGAUGUGGAUGCCAAUAGCGAGUAAGUAGGUUGAAAGUGUCAGCAGUCAGUGGCCUAAAUGUCUGUGUUUAGGUAAGUACCUGGCACACGUCCGGGCUCCUGUUCACACAGAUUCAUUCCCCCAGGUCAGACUCAGAGCACUGCUGUGAGGGUGGCCAGGCAGGAAUUAUCAGCCACAUUGAAGAGGCGAGCCCUGGGUCACAUUUGAAAACAGACUCAGGGAGGAAACUCGAACUCGAGUCUCAGUGAAAUGAACACUGCUUCCCCAUCUGGCCUGGAAGGAGCUCUCGGACAGCUGUGAGAUUACAGAUCGAUUUUUUAGUGACUAAAAUGUUGGCAGAAACAGACAGAAAACAAUACGCUGUCUGUUCCUUCUGUUUGUUUUGUCUUUUCAAUUUCAUGUGUGUAUCAGAUUGUUGCACAAUAAGGCCGGGCAUUGUCGGCUGUAAGUCCCCAACAAAUAUUUGUUGAGUAUGGAAAAUGGCUUAUUAAGCAUUAAUAUGCAAAUUAUAUCAUUAGGAGAGCUUACUUCCAAGACCCAUUAAUUUAUUUUUUACAGAAAAAUACAAUAUCUGACUGCUCACAUUUUAUUUUAAAAGAACAUUAUCAUCCUCUCAUCCCUCAGGCUCCUGCCCUGGGGUCUGGGCACAAAUUGAUAACUAUUACAUUAUUAUUAUUUUAAAAUCCAGUUUCCCCUCUUCCACUCACCCUUAAUGCCAUUCUAUUAUAGACCCGAGACUUUCAAAGAAGCCAAAUGAUAAUUUAAGGGAAUGUCCCCAUUUCACAGGUGAGAAGAUUAAGGCCCAGAGAAAUCACCUGUCAGCCCCAGGUCCCCGGCUGAUCAGUGGCGGGACAGCACGAGGGCCGCAGAGCUCCUGUUAUGUGGCCUGCCUCCUCUCGAUGCCAAGACUAAUCUGAACCAACUUCGCGGCCUUCAUUCUGAACAGUCUUCUCUCUUGCUCUCAUGUGCCCUUAAUAAUCUGAGUGUGCUCUGGUGCAUUUUCCUUUAUGAACUAUUUGUUGAACUCAGAAAGUUGAGUGAGGCUUAAAAAAUUCUCCACUACUAAUUUAAUUUCUACCCCACAUACAAUGAUGAUUUUUCUAAUGGUGGUGCUAAAUGAAUAGUGUUGUGAAAGAGAUUCGCUUCACUUGAUCUGUUUAUAAAUUUCUUACCUCCUAAAACGUUAGGAAGGAAUCUUAUGACAGCACAGCCACCCCUGAGUGCCCUCUGCCUUCCCGGCUCUCUCUUGGCGCCUUCCACUUCACGGUAGCUAGGGUGGGAGCUGAGGGCCGCCUGUCAUACGGCACACCGUGACGCGUCAUGGCUCACAGGAACAAGCGCCCUUCCUCUAACCCUUUGACAACCUCAAUCCUACGGGGUUCCAGGUCCCCGACAAAGUCCAGCCUCACACUCCACGCAGGCGUGGACGCUCCCCUUGGUCUACAGACGACUGGAAUCACAGCCUGAAAGUUUUUACUUGGUCAGCUUCACGAAAAGACAGUUUUAAACAAGAUUUCACAUUUUAUUUUGAUCACUAAGCACAAAGAAUCGCUACUUGAGGCUUAGGGGGAAAAACACCAGCACCCAAAAAACAAACCAAAAAUUUCAAAGGCUCACUAUUAUUUUAGGCGUUUCUCCAGAUUUGAAGAGGGAGGGUUGAAACUCAGGCUCUCUGGUCACCUGCGAGUCUAGAAGGUUGGGAAGCACAACGUGCUCCUAGUGAAGCUGCAAUGUCAUCGGCCAAAAUCAUCCCUCCCUCACAGCCUUGGCGGGAGGU